UCUACGUUACAGUGUAAGUCACUCUGGAUAAGAGCGUCUGCUAAAUGACAUUUA
Molecule: non-coding RNA, 54 nt
Organism: Salmo salar (Atlantic salmon)
Lineage: Eukaryota; Metazoa; Chordata; Actinopteri; Salmoniformes; Salmonidae
Source: Rfam